This 61-nucleotide transfer RNA is filed under the name Ictidomys tridecemlineatus (thirteen-lined ground squirrel). Its description in RNAcentral is "Spermophilus tridecemlineatus (thirteen-lined ground squirrel) tRNA". It matches the Rfam family "tRNA", at positions 6 to 65 of the family's 71-position model. Rfam says of the family: Transfer RNA (tRNA) molecules are approximately 80 nucleotides in length. Lineage: Eukaryota; Metazoa; Chordata; Mammalia; Rodentia; Sciuridae. RNAcentral also lists the same sequence under 1 other name. The record is from Rfam by way of RNAcentral.
UGUGGUUCAGUUGUAGAAUGCUUGCCUGGCAUGCAUGAGGCACUGGGUUUGAUUCUCAGCA